CGUUGAAACAACGGUUCCCGUGCGAUCACCGGAGAUAAGCAACGUCGAGCCAGGUCAAUAAUUAGAUGAGUGACCGUUUGGGAAUACGAGGUGCUGUAA
This is a non-coding RNA of Acanthosepion pharaonis, 99 nucleotides long. The record is from the annotation of a GenBank genome assembly. Lineage: Eukaryota; Metazoa; Mollusca; Cephalopoda; Sepiida; Sepiidae.